UACGGAGGGUGCAAGCGUUAUCCGGAAUCACUGGGUUUAAAGGGUGCGUAGGCGGUCUGAUAAGUCAGUUGUGAAAUCGCUGGGCUUAACCUAUGCAACUGCGAUUGAUACUGUCAGACUUGAAUGGGGUUGAGGCAGGCGGAAUGUGGCAUGUAGCGGUGAAAUGCUUAGAUAUGCCAUAGAACACCAAUUGCGAAGGCAGCCUGCUGGGCCUUGAUUGACGCUGAGGCACGAAAGCGUGGGGAGCAAACAGG
RNAcentral lists this ribosomal RNA (254 nucleotides) under uncultured bacterium. Its description in RNAcentral is "partial 16S ribosomal RNA". It matches the Rfam family "Bacterial small subunit ribosomal RNA", at positions 524 to 776 of the family's 1533-position model. The record is from RNAcentral.